UACAUUUAAACUCAGUUUUUCACAACUCCUGACAUUUAAUAUGUAGGUACAUUUUAGGUUCUGAAUGAAAGGUGAAUAUACGUCUUUUCAGGAAGUUUAAGAUAUUUAUAUUCCUGAUGUUGAAAAUACGUCUUUCCGGACUUUGAAAUCUGGUUCAUUUUUUGGUUCUGAAUGAAUGUUGAAAAGACUUUCUCUACUUGUUUUACUGUAAUGUAUUGCAGUUUGCUGUGCUCUACUGCAGUGGUUCUCAAACCUCUUCUCAGGGACCCCGUGACGUUUCACAAUUUUGCUGUAGAUCUGAUCUAGCUAUUCAAGAGCUUGAGGAUUAGUUGACAAGUUGAAUUGGGUGUGCUAGCUAUUAAAUAGAUUAAUUACAUGGAAUGGUCUGGGUUCCCCAUGGAGAGGUUUUAAAACCAUUACUCUACUGUACUGUGCUGUUCAAACUUGUGAAACAUAGAUGUCUAGGAUUGUUUCAGUUUUGGUCAAGUCUCGAUCGGACCUAAUCUGAAUCAAUCCUAGAUGUUUAUGUUUGUGCCAAAUCAAGGUUGGUCCGGAUCAGACUGGACCAAAUCUUAACCAAUUUUAGAGGUCUAUGUUUGGACCAGACCUCUGUGGACUUUGAAAUAAAGCCAAAUCAAGGCCAAUCAAGGCCAGAUGCAAUGCCUUAGACCACUGCGCCACUCGGGAGUCCCCCUAACCCUAACUUUAAACCUUAUAGCUAACCCUUCCCCUAACAUAACCCUAACCUUAACCAUUUAACCCAACUGUCACGUCUACACCCGCUCCCCCUCUCCAGUGCUCGACAUAACCGGUCCUGGAAACCCAUCAUUAUGCACACCUGGAAAUCCUUAUUACGCACACCUGCGCCACUUUAUGAAGUACACCUGGACUCCAUCGCUAUCCUAAUUACUCCCCCUUUAUCUAGCACUCCCUAGCAUCACUCUUCAGGCAGUAUUGGUUUUGUUUCCUUGUCCUUUGCCAUCACCAUAACCAGCUGGCAAAACUGGGAACAGCUAUGGAUGAGGUCCUCCGCAUUCUUCAAGGUUUUGACAUUUCCGGAGUGGCAUCACCUCCAACAGGUGGAGGAUUCUCUUUCACAUGUCGACCAGCCCAGCGAGCUAGCACCCCAGACCAUCCAACAGUCCGCCAAGGUCCAUGAUGCCCAUUUGUCACUCCCAGGCAAAUAUGACGGGUCUCCAUACAAAUGACGUUGCUUCCUACUCCAGUGCUCCCUAUAUUUCACUCAUCAGAUGUGAGCCCCCACCACCGAGAGGUCCAAGGUUGCCACGGUUAUUUCCCUGCAUUGGAGUGGGCUAUGGCCAUCUGGGAGAGAGGAGGAGGAGCUGAGUUCCUGUGAGGGAUUCAUGGCUUUGUUCAGGGGGUCUUCGACCAUCCACCGGAGGACAGAGAGCAGGGUGAGUACCUACUCCAACUACGACAGGAUGGCCAGACAACGACGGAGUAUGCUCUUCGGACAGUGGCAGCAUCCAGCGGAUGGAAUGAGCCGGCGCUCUGCACACUAUUCUGUCUGGAUAACCUUCUUCGGGAGCAUUGGCACCCCCAUCGCCUCUCUCCCUCCUUCGUUGACCGUCAGAGCCUGAACCCAUGGAGGUAGGGGCCACACCUCCCCGCAGCUGAGUGAGGCUGUUGUAGACAGUUUGGGCCCUGCUCCUAUUGUGGCCAGGAGGGGCACCAGCUUCAACAGCGUCCGGGAACGUCACAUCCCGGAAUCCACGAGAGCAGAGGGACGGCCCCGUGAUCAUCCGUCUCCUGGGUUAGGCGUCGCUGACGCACUGUUCCAGCAGGUCUUCCGGCACUAUGGCCUUCUGGAGGAUAUCGUCUCUGAUCGUGGUACCAAUUCACAUCACGUGUAUGGAAGGCUUUCAUGGAAAAGCUGGGGGUCACGGUCAGCCUCACUCCCGGGUACCAUCCUCAAUAUAACGGGCAGGUGAAGAGGAUGACCUAGGAGCUGGGGAGGUUCCCUAGGAGUCACUCCCAGGACCGGCAGGGGGAGUGGGCCCGAUUCCUUCCUUGGGCUGAAUAUGCCCAGAAUUACUUGCGACACUCCACCACCGAGCUGACUCCAUUCAAGUGUGUUCUGGACUACCAGCCAGACCGAAGCUCCUGUGGUGGUUGAGUGUUUUAGGUACGCAGAAGAGGCUAGUGGUUCUUGGUUUCUUGGCUGAUGUCAUCCCCCAUGACACUCCUCAGCCUCCCUUGGACAUUGAGGGGAGCCCUGCCUAUGCCAUCAGAUCACUCCUGGACGCCGAUGUUGUGGGGGUCACUCACACCAGUACCUGGUGGAUUGGGAGGGCUACGGUCCAGAGGAGCGGUGCUGGGUUCUUGUGAACAACUUUCUAGAUCCUAACAUCAUCUGCAAAUUCCACCUGCUUCAGGCCUCUAGUGGAUUCUGAUGUGGCAGGACAUUUUAUUGACUAGGCCCUUGCCUCCUCCCUGCAUGUCACCUCAUACCCGCUCUCCUCCCAGUUCUUGGUCCAAAUUCCACCUGCUUCAUCCGGACCAGCCCAUUCCUCGCCCCCGGGGCCGUCCUCCUGGCUGGCGUCAUUCUGUCUAUUGGCCCUACCCACCCCUACGGGAGGGCAGCUCCCUCUCAGCCCAGUCCAACUCUUCCUCUGUCCUGGCAACCCAAUGGUGGAACCAGCUUCUUCCUGAAGCUAGGACAGAAGAGUCCCUGCCCAUCCUUUGAAAACAUCUGAAAACCUACCACUUCAAACAGUAUCUUAAAUAAUCCUCCUAUGCCUGUGUUAUGUGGCUGUCCCACCUAGCUAUCUUAAGACGAAUGCACUAACUGUAAGUCGCCUGGACAAGAGCAUCUGCUAAUUGACUAAAAGGUAUAUAUAUUUUUUUAUAAAGUGUUGUACUUUUUGUACAACAAAAUUUCUAUAUUAAGAUAUUUUUAGAAGGGAUUCUCUCACCAUGGGUGCUCAGCCAGCUUACCACUUACAGCGCAGUCAGUUUAGCUCAUCUGAUGAUGAGUAGAUCACCUCUAUCCUUUCAGUGGUUUUAAAAGGAUUUAAUUUAACGUAACAGUGUUUACUUAAACCGUGUUGACAUCACAUUACGUAUAUUUAUAGACUAUGUAUACAGCUGAAACAGAAUGGGCAAAGGUAUCCAAUGAAAGUCACAUCGGUGCAGUGUAACAUAUAUCAAGUCACUGCAGUAUAACUGUAAAUGCCUCAUCUGUGUUGAAACAUGGCCUGGAAGUGUUUUCCAAUCCCAAGGCUCAAAGUGGUUUGAGAUUUGUGAUUAAUAAAUUCAUUAUGUGUUCUUGAGUAAAAAAUUAAAUGUGCAGAUGUUGUGUUUGUGUUUAACCAUCAUGCCAACAAUAUGCAUGCCAAAGAUCGGCAUUGGUGAAAAACAUCUGGAAAUUAAAACACAUUCAUUGUAUUGUUGAAACUUUGCAUUGCUAUAUCUGCUCU
Oncorhynchus kisutch (coho salmon) is the source of this 3440-nucleotide long non-coding RNA. RefSeq lists it as uncharacterized. NCBI's taxonomy places the organism in Eukaryota, Metazoa, Chordata, Actinopteri, Salmoniformes, Salmonidae. The transcript has 5 exons. The record is from RefSeq and is a predicted model, not a curated record.